This 497-nucleotide ribosomal RNA is filed under the name uncultured bacterium. Its description in RNAcentral is "partial 16S ribosomal RNA". It matches the Rfam family "Bacterial small subunit ribosomal RNA", at positions 28 to 507 of the family's 1533-position model. The record is from RNAcentral.
GAUGAACGCUGACGGCGUGCCUAAUACAUGCAAGUCGAGCGAACAGACGAGGAGCUUGCUCCUCUGACGUUAGCGGCGGACGGGUGAGUAACACGUGGAUAACCUACCUAUAAGACUGGGAUAACUUCGGGAAACCGGAGCUAAUACCGGAUAAUAUAUUGAACCGCAUGGUUCAAUAGUGAAAGACGGUUUUGCUGUCACUUAUAGAUGGAUCCGCGCCUCAUUAUCUAGUUGGUAAGGUAACGGCUUACCAAGGCAACGAUGCGUAGGCGACCUGAGAGGGUGAUAGGCCACACUAGAACGGAGACACGGACAAGACUCCUACGGGAGGCAGCAGUAGGGAAUCUUCCGCAAUGGGCGAAAGCUUGACGGAGCAACGCCGCGUGAGUGAUGAAGGUCUUCGGAUCGUAAAACUCUGUUAUUAGGGAAGAACAAAUGUGUAAGUAACUAUGCACGUCUUGACGGUAACUAAUCAGAAAGCCACGGCUAACUACGUG